GCACCUGCAUGCACAAACAUUUUAACAUAUGUUAAAUACUAACAAGUUUAAUAUUAUCUUCACUCAAUAUUAUUUCAUGAGCAUUAUUAAAACACUGAAAUUCUAUCAACUAAGACUAAAGGUAAUACAGGGGUCCCAACCCAGGCCAUGGACUAGUACCUGUAUGUGGCCUGUUAGGAACAGCAGGAAGUGAGUGGUGGGCAAUUGACUGAAGCUUCAUUUGUAUUUACAGCUGCUCCCCAUCAUUUCACUUCCUGUCAGAUUACCGGCAGCAUUAGAUUCUCAUAGUGCAAACACUAAUGUGAACUGGAUAUGCAAAAGAUCUAAGUUGUGUGCUCUUUAUUAGAAUCCACUGUCUGAUGCUCUCAGCUGGAGCUGAGGCUGUGAUGCUAGUGCUGGGGAGAGAUUGUGAACUCCAAUUAACAUGAGAGAGGUCUGACUGUAAGGGGACCAUAAUAAAUCAACUGCUUGCCGACUCAUUAAAACCCUAGAUAAGCUGCAUCUAGUGUAAGCUUUAUAGUGGCAAGUUAGUUGGUGAACAUCUGCAUCUGGUGGCAGACAGUAAGUCAGAAUCUGACACUUAUUUUAGUCUGUGUGUGGCUGACUCAUUAUUUAACCACUUAUAUCCAAGCCUCUUUCUCAUAUUGUACAUUUGUCUCAGUGACAGUUUUGGGAAGCCCACAAGCUAACCCUAGCCAAAGAGAGUGAAAAACAAACAUCACUGGAGAGCUUCUUUGCAAAGGAGAAGUACUCCACGAUGAGACAGAAGAAGACUCUAAGCCAACAAAAACAAAGAUGUGAUUAAAUUAUCAACCACAUUAAAGGACAUAGCUUAACUCAUGUCUGUGCAGCUCUGUCAGGAGAUGGACAUAAGAGCAUAUACAUCUGUUAUCUACAGAAGUGAGAUGGCUUUCUAAAGCUCUGAAACAAUUCAAUAUUGACACCAAUUAAAAUGAAGGCAGAGAAGAACACCGAAGGAUGAAGUCUAAAAAUUAGACAAAACACAUUCUGCAUAAAUAAAAAGACAAUUAACAGGUGUUCUAAACAUAACUAUGUCUGUGAGUUUCAAGCUUUAUUGUAGCAUACAGUAGCUUUCUAUGGUUUGUGCACAACUGAUACUGGAAGGAAACAUGGAUACUUUGAAUGGCUGAAUCCCGAAAUAAGACUAAGGGAUCAAACUCGGGACACUGGACUUGCCAAGCAGGCGUUGGAACCACUGAGCUAAAUCCCAGGCCCUUGUCUGUGAUUUUAUUCUUCAACUUUGUGAGACAAAACCCCCUGAGAUUUAUAUAAAAUUAACUUUCAUAUCUGGAGGUCCCACUGCAAUCACUCUAGACUUUAAAUCCAGCAAACAGACUGAUAGGAGACCUAAAAGAAACUAGGACCAUCAUAUGAACAGACACGGAAAGAUGUAUACAAUAUAUCAUAGUAAGAAAAAGGAAGAUUGUACAAUUGGGGCUACAGGAUCACUCCCCUCCACUGACCUGAACCCAGGAAAUCUCGCAGGCGAAUCUUGACUUCUGUCCUAAAGUUUACUACCCAGAGGCAAAGAAAGACAGAGACUCCUGCACCCAUCCACCUUGGAAGACUCUGAAGUCCCAAGCCCAGACACAAUAUCAAGAUAAACGAAACUCAUGCACAAUAAUUACAAGUGGAUGAAAAAUACUGAUGAUUAAUUCAAUCACAUUAUUUUCUGGCUAAGAAGAACCUGACAAGACUGGCCCAGCCUUGUUACAGUGACUGGAAACCAAAGCUUGGGCCUAUACAUUACUUAUGGUCACAAAGUAAAUAGAACUAUUUUGCAAGACUAUGUGGCGACUGCCUUCAACAAGACACUAACUCAUUUAAAGAACACAGUAUCCUUCUGUUAUGGCAGAUGGGAAAUCAAUGAAUAAUUGCAUUAUUUUAUUAUUUUUCUGUGCAAGAUGAAAAUGUCUCUGUUGUGUUUAGUACGGUGAAUAUUCAAAAUUCUAUAACAGACUCUUAUUUUGUGUAUUAUAUACAGUAAACUAAACAUCUGGUUUUAUUAUAAGACUUCCUGUCAAAUUUGAAGUUUCACCUAUUGCAACAGUACCAAAAUAAUAAAU
Molecule: non-coding RNA, 2087 nt
Organism: Heterocephalus glaber (naked mole-rat)
Lineage: Eukaryota; Metazoa; Chordata; Mammalia; Rodentia; Bathyergidae
Source: RefSeq, a predicted model, not a curated record